This 1522-nucleotide long non-coding RNA is filed under the name Citrus sinensis (sweet orange). Its description in RNAcentral is "long non-coding RNA (CSIN_LNC004784)". Lineage: Eukaryota; Viridiplantae; Streptophyta; Magnoliopsida; Sapindales; Rutaceae. The record is from RNAcentral.
CUUUGGUUCAACAAAAUUUGCUGGACAAAGGGCAAAAAAACAGAACAUAUAACACAUCCAGAACCACCAGACUAUUAGAACCAAAUUGCUUAACUUUGGUUCAACAAAAUUUGCUGGACAAAGGGCAAAAAAACAGAACAUAUAACACAUCCAGAACCACCAGACUAUUAGAACCAAAUUGCUUAACUUUGGUUCAACAAAAUUUGCUGGACAAAGGGCAAAAAAACAGAACAUAUAACACAUCCAGAACCACCAGACUAUUAGAACCAAAUUGCUUAACUUUGGUUCAACAAAAUUUGCUGGACAAAGGGCAAAAAAACAGAACAUAUAACACAUCCAGAACCUAAAACAAAUACAACACAAUAUAGAAUCUAAAACUCAAAGUUUUAAAGUAAUAAACAUCCACAAAUACAAAUCCAUAACAUAAUUCUACAAUUUAAAGCUCAAAUUUCCAGCCACUAGUGCUAAAGACUAAACUCUGAAUCAUCCACUUCAUUUGACUGUUGCUCACUCAUCCAACUUUCAUCAAUCAAAUGCUCUGCAGAAAGUAUUGUUUCCUCAGGAAUUCCAUCUACAAAAAAUGUGUAAAUCAUAAACAUAAUAUGAACAAGACAACCAAUUAGUGAUAAAUUAAUAAUAAGAACAAUACAACAAAUAAUUUGAUUCUAAUAAAUAAAAUUUUCAUACCUUUUAAGUUUUGUUUAAGCCAAAACCAAUUUUGAGUGCACACCAAUGCCUCUACUGUGGAUGGGUGAAGUCUACUGCGAUGAGGGCUCAAAUGUCUACCUCCAGUGCUAAAAGCGGACUCCGAAGCAACUGUUGAUACAGGAAUGGCCAAAAAGUCCCUUGCAAUCUUUGCAAGUAUAGGAUACUUGCCUUGAUUAUUCUUCCACCAUGAUAAAAUGUCAAAUUGACUAGUUGAAGGCAAAGUAGUCUCCUCAAGAUAAAGCUCUAAUUCUAAUUUGGAAUGAAUAUUUUGUGUGUUUUCAUUUCUAAAUAAUGCCCACUCAUCAGCCAUUUCAUCCAAAUCUAAAUCUAACAUAUUAGAGUCCCCUCCUGCAGCAGCUUGAGAAUUGGCACCAUUAACCCCCCCACUUGAAUUUGAUAGAUGAUUUAACAAAUAACUUACGCACUCUUUCAAUUUCGGAUUCAACUUUUUCCCCAUAUAUUUUAGGAAAUAAAAAGUUAAUCAGUAACAUUUUACGCUUAGGAUCUAACAUAGUCCCCACUGCAAGAACUCCAUGAAUAUCAUCCCAAUAUUUUUCACACUUCGCAAUCAUCCUAGUGGCCAUAUUUUUAUCCCCUCAAUUGGCACAGUGAGUAUCCUAACCGAAUUUCGUUAAUUUAUAUGAAGAGAACAGUUCUUAUGCUGAUGAAGAAAAUUACAGGACAUUAUUAAUCAAGAAUUCAUAAGAUUAAGAUUUUAAUCCAGACAUUAUUAAUCAAGAAUUCAUAAGACUAUAUGAAGAGACAUUAUUAAUCAAGAAAAUUACAGAACAUUAACUUUGAAUUCUUAACAAGA